AGGAUGUUGAUUAGUUUUGUGUUGUAAAGCGGGCUAGACGUGCAACAGUUGGAAGGGGAGCUAAGUCAUCUACUAGGGCAGUAGUUGCUGGAGGAGCUGCCGCAUCUUCCGUAGCAGAUGCUGAGGCCAGCGGUGAAGGAGUUGAGGUGGCUGCAUGGGAAUAUGUGGAGCGACCAUCACAAGCGGGCAUGAUAAGGGCAUCACCAGGGCGGUUUGCGAAGUUCAACAGCUC
This is a long non-coding RNA of Triticum dicoccoides, 232 nucleotides long. RefSeq lists it as uncharacterized. The record is from RefSeq and is a predicted model, not a curated record. The transcript is spliced from 3 exons. NCBI's taxonomy places the organism in Eukaryota, Viridiplantae, Streptophyta, Magnoliopsida, Poales, Poaceae.